This 520-nucleotide ribosomal RNA is filed under the name uncultured Glomus. Its description in RNAcentral is "SSU rRNA". It matches the Rfam family "Eukaryotic small subunit ribosomal RNA", at positions 569 to 1093 of the family's 1831-position model. Lineage: Eukaryota; Fungi; Glomeromycota; Glomeromycetes; Glomerales; Glomeraceae. The record is from RNAcentral.
AGCAGCCGCGGUAAUUCCAGCUCCAAUAGCGUAUAUUAAAGUUGUUGCAGUUAAAAAGCUCGUAGUUGAAUUUCGGGAUCAAUAUGUUGGUCGUGCCUUGGUACGUACUAGUUUAUUGGUUUCUUCCUUCUGACGAACCAUGAUGUCAUUAAUUUGGUGUCAUGGGGAAUCAGGACUGUUACUUUGAAAAAAUUAGUGUUUAAAGCAAGCUCACGCUUGAAUACAUUAGCAUGGAAUAAUGAAAUAGGACGUUUGAUUCUAUUUUGUUGGUUUCUAGGAUCGACGUAAUGAUUAAUAGGGAUAGUUGGGGGCAUUAGUAUUCAAUUGUCAGAGGUGAAAUUCUUGGAUUUAUUGAAGACUAACUACUGCGAAAGCAUUUGCCAAGGAUGUUUUCAUUAAUCAAGAACGAAAGUUAGGGGAUCGAAGACGAUCAGAUACCGUCGUAGUCUUAACCAUAAACUAUGCCGACUAGGGAUCGGAUGAUGUUAAUUUUUUAAUGUACUCAUUCGGCGCCUUAUAC